RNAcentral lists this ribosomal RNA (277 nucleotides) under uncultured bacterium. RNAcentral's name for it is "partial 16S ribosomal RNA". It matches the Rfam family "Bacterial small subunit ribosomal RNA", at positions 28 to 315 of the family's 1533-position model. The record is from RNAcentral.
GAUUAACGCUGGCGGCGUGCCUAACACAUGCAAGUCGAACGAGGUAGCAAUACCUAGUGGCAGACGGGUGAGUAACGCGUGGUCAACCUACCUUCGAGCGGGGGAUAACUAGCCGAAAGGCUAGCUAAUACCGCAUAACACCAAAGCCGGCAUCGGCAUUGGUUGAAAGCAGCAAUGCACUCGAGGACGGGACCGCGUUCGAUUAGUUUGUUGGUGAGGUAAUGGCUCACCAAGACUACGAUCGAUAGCUGGUUUGAGAGAACGACCAGCCACACUG